GGCGUAAAGCGCAUGCAGGUGGUUGGAUAAGCUAGAUGUGAAAGCCCCGGGCUCAACCUGGGAAUUGCAUUUAAAACUGUCCAGCUAGAGUCUUGUAGAGGGGGGUAGAAUUUC
RNAcentral lists this ribosomal RNA (114 nucleotides) under uncultured bacterium. RNAcentral's name for it is "partial 16S ribosomal RNA". It matches the Rfam family "Bacterial small subunit ribosomal RNA", at positions 557 to 670 of the family's 1533-position model. The record is from RNAcentral.